AUGAACAAUACGAGGUGGGAUCUGCUCACCCGGCUAGCGGCGGAGGCUGCGCGUUCGCCGCUGCGGUUCGCGAACGGGAGCGUGCCGUACGCGGACAGAUCGCAGUCGCCGACGACCAUGCACGGUCUGGUGCAGUGCACGAGGGACCUGAACUCGAGCGAGUGCAGCAGGUGCCUUACCGAAUUCGUGUCAAACCUCUCGAGUGUGUUCCCUAGCAACACCGGUGGUUGCAUCAAGGGCUACAGCUGCUACGCCUUAUACAACAUCGGCGACGAUGACUUCCUCCGUGUCACUAUUCCGCCGCCACUUGCACAGCCACCGCCGUCCAAGCUCCCGCCAGGAGCCGGAGAAGCUCCGCCACUUGCCGCCGUCAGGACUAGCAGCAGGACGCAGCUGGUGGCCAGGGUGUUUGCCGGUGUCGUCAUCAUGUUGGUCAUCUCAUCGAGUCUCUUGGUUUGUUUCCUUUUAGGCCGUCGGAGGCGGAAUCGCAUGGCGAGACAAGUAGAUACUUUUGACGAUGAUCCAUUGGAAGAGGACUUCGAGAAAGGGACCGGGCCCAAGCGGUUUCGCUAUAGCGAUCUUGCCGUCGCCACCAGCAACUUCUCCGACCAGAUGAAGCUGGGUGAAGGUGGUUUCGGUUCGGUGUACAAAGGAUUCUUGAAGGAGCUUAAAGUUGAGGUGGCUAUAAAAAGAAUAUUCAAGACCUCCAAGCAGGGCAGGAAGGAGUACAUCUCAGAGGUGAAGAUCAUAAGCCGGCUAAGACAUCGAAACCUCGUGCAACUCAUUGGCUGGUGCCAUGGCGGCGGCGAGCUCUUACUUGUCUAUGAUCUUAUGCCCCACGGCAGCCUAGACACUCAUCUUUACAGUUCAAACACCAUAUUAUCGUGGCCACUCAGGUAUGAGAUUGUGCUGGGGUUAGAGUCUGCACUUCUGUACCUGCACCAGGACUGGGAGCAAUGUGUUCUGCACCGUGACAUCAAGCCAAGCAACAUCGUGUUGGACAUGUCGUUCUGUGCCAAACUUGGUGACUUUGGGCUUGCGCGGCUUGUCGACCACGACCGAGGACCAUACACGACUGGUAUUGCAGGAACAAUGGGCUACAUGGACCCUGAGUGCAUGGUCACGGGAAGGACAAGCGCCGAGUCUGAUGUCUACAGCUUCGGUGUAGUCAUGCUCGAGAUCGCCUGCGGCAAGCGACCCGCUGUUUCUCGGGGGCGAGAAGACAUCAUUCAUCUGGUGCAAUGGGUCUGGGAUUCAUGGGAAUGCGGAAGGACCCUUGCCGCGGCCGAUGCACAGCUCAACCUGGAGUUCGACGACCGGGAGAUGGAGUGCAUGAUGGCGGUCGGGCUCUGGUGCGCGCACCCUGACAGGACCCUGAGACCAUCCAUCAAGCAAGCGGUUAGCGUGCUACGAUUUGAGGCACCUCCGCCAAGCCUUCCAGCAAAGAUGCCCGUCGCCACAUUUACGGCGACAGUUGAUUCUUCAUUUGUUUCUGCAUCUCAGCUUACAGGCGGUAGAUGA
This 1521-nucleotide ribosomal RNA is filed under the name Triticum aestivum (bread wheat). Its description in RNAcentral is "partial small subunit ribosomal RNA". The record is from RNAcentral. Lineage: Eukaryota; Viridiplantae; Streptophyta; Magnoliopsida; Poales; Poaceae.